UCACUCAUGGUGUAGUGGUUUAUCAUUCAAGCCUGUCACGCUUGAGACCCGGGUUCGACUCCCGGUGAGUGAG
This is a transfer RNA of Spraguea lophii 42_110, 73 nucleotides long. It matches the Rfam family "tRNA". From Rfam's summary of the family: Transfer RNA (tRNA) molecules are approximately 80 nucleotides in length. Their secondary structure includes four short double-helical elements and three loops (D, anti-codon, and T loops). NCBI's taxonomy places the organism in Eukaryota, Fungi, Microsporidia, Spragueidae. The record is from Rfam.